GGUCCCGUAGCUCAGUUGGAUUAGAGCGUCAGCUUGCGGAGCUGAAGGUCGCAGGUUCGAGCCCUGCCGGGAUCACCA
RNAcentral lists this transfer RNA (78 nucleotides) under Patescibacteria group bacterium. RNAcentral describes it as "tRNA-Arg". It matches the Rfam family "tRNA". From Rfam's summary of the family: Transfer RNA (tRNA) molecules are approximately 80 nucleotides in length. Their secondary structure includes four short double-helical elements and three loops (D, anti-codon, and T loops). The record is from RNAcentral.